Molecule: ribosomal RNA, 1192 nt
Filed under: uncultured bacterium
Lineage: Bacteria
Description: bacterial SSU rRNA
Rfam family: Bacterial small subunit ribosomal RNA
Source: RNAcentral
GACGACCGGUAGCCGGUCCAAGAGGGUGACCGGCCCCACUGGAACUGAGACACGGCCCAGACUCCUACGGGAGGCAGCAGUGGGGAAUAUGCACAAUGGCGAAAGCCUGAUGCAGCAACGCCGCGUGAGGGAUGACGCUUCGGGUUGUAACCUCUUUUAGUAGGGAAGAAGGGAGCUUCGGUCUUGACGGUACUUGCAGAAAAAGCACCGGCUAACUACGUGCCAGCAGCCGCGGUAAUACGUAGGGUGCAAGCGUUGUCCGGAAUUAUUGGGCGUAAAGAGCUCGUAGGCGGUUUGUCGCGUCUGCUGUGAAAUCCCGAGGCUCAACCUCGGGCUUGCAGUGGGUACGGGCAGACUAGAGUGCGGUAGGGGAGAUUGGAAUUCCUGGUGUAGCGGUGGAAUGCGCAGAUAUCAGGAGGAACACCGAUGGCGAAGGCAGAUCUCUGGGCCGUAACUGACGCUGAGGAGCGAAAGCAUGGGGAGCGAACAGGAUUAGAUACCCUGGUAGUCCAUGCCGUAAACGUUGGGCGCUAGAUGUAGGGACCUUUCCACGGUUUCUGUGUCGUAGCUAACGCAUUAAGCGCCCCGCCUGGGGAGUACGGCCGCAAGGCUAAAACUCAAAGGAAUUGACGGGGGCCCGCACAAGCGGCGGAGCAUGCGGAUUAAUUCGAUGCAACGCGAAGAACCUUACCAAGGCUUGACAUACACCGGAAACGGCCAGAGAUGGUCGCCCCCUUGUGGUCGGUGUACAGGUGGUGCAUGGUUGUCGUCAGCUCGUGUCGUGAGAUGUUGGGUUAAGUCCCGCAACGAGCGCAACCCUCGUUCUAUGUUGCCAGCGGGUUAUGCCGGGGACUCAUAGGAGACUGCCGGGGUCAACUCGGAGGAAGGUGGGGAUGACGUCAAAUCAUCAUGCCCCUUAUGUCUUGGGCUUCACGCAUGCUACAAUGGCCGGUACAAAGGGCUGCGAUACCGUAAGGUGGAGCGAAUCCCAAAAAGCCGGUCUCAGUUCGGAUUGAGGUCUGCAACUCGACCUCAUGAAGUCGGAGUCGCUAGUAAUCGCAGAUCAGCAACGCUGCGGUGAAUACGUUCCCGGGCCUUGUACACACCGCCCGUCAAGUCAUGAAAGUCGGUAACACCCGAAGCCGGUGGCCUAACCCUUGGGAAGGAGCCGUCGAAGGUGAUCGAAUGUUUA